The sequence is a small RNA, 69 nucleotides long. It matches the Rfam family "int-alpA RNA". From Rfam's summary of the family: Acidobacteria (1 example), Planctomycetes (1 example), Proteobacteria. Environment (Lake Washington) The record is from Rfam.
GUGCGGGAUAGGGUCGCUCCUGAAAACCGGCUUCCAUCGCCGGCUUCCCGCACUUCCUUUUUUCGAUGG